Molecule: ribosomal RNA, 540 nt
Filed under: Triticum aestivum (bread wheat)
Lineage: Eukaryota; Viridiplantae; Streptophyta; Magnoliopsida; Poales; Poaceae
Description: partial small subunit ribosomal RNA
Source: RNAcentral
AUGAUGAUUUCGAUGAUUAUGACAACGACCAUUAUUAAGAAAGCCUACCUUAGUAGAUUCUUCAGUACUGAAUUCGGACCUGUGGAGGAAGCAAUAGUAAUUACCUUUUCUAGGAGUACUGAAUUCGGACCUAUGGAUGAGAUUCCGAGAUUCAGUGUCAGAUCAUCUGUCUCAAGAUCACCACUUACCGGCGAUAUCACUGAGAAUGCUCCUUAUAACACCGGCAGUCCACAUGGUGAUGCAUGCAGUGAGAGCAAUGUCCACAGCCAGCAUGAUGAUGAGUGCAGCAGAAGCAAUGGCGAAAGCCUGCCGGAUGGUGAAUCCACCUCAAAUGGUAGCUUACUUUAUGUGAUUACUGUGAGCAUAGUGAAGUAUGAUUUGAUCGAGUCAUCUGCAGCAAAGCCUAAUUUGAUUGUGUCUGGACCUCCUGAAAAAAUCGAACAAGGACCAUUACAGAAGCCUGAUUUGGUCGAGUCCGCACCUACAAAGAAACUUGAUUUGAUUGAGUCCAGUACCCCUAGGAAGGCUGAUUUGGUUUAG